UAAUUAGGACGUCACAUUUUCAACCAGCUGCCAUAAUAGUAAAGAAUUAAAUUUAUCAAAAAUUAACAUUUCUCAAACGUGUUUGGACUAAAAAUCACUCUAAUGGAUUCUACAGCCUCGAAACUCAAAGAAACCAGCUUCAAAAAAAAAAGUAUUUUAUUUGUUAGAAAAAAAACUGGUCGUCUCAUCUCUCAUCCAAAAUUUCAAUUAUAUUAUUACAACAUUGAACAUAGUACGUAACACAUCAUAAGUGAUUACUAUAAUGUGUUUAGAAUAAUAUAAUAUUUAACAAAUCACUGUGUCCGCGGCUCGUGUACAUUUUUUUCUCAUCAAUUGUUUUAUAAGUUUACAUAACGCCGGAUGCUUAUUAUCAUUUAUAAAUAUUUAAAUUCUACAGCUCUUAGACGUUAGACUCCAGACAUUUAGUUUUUUAAAAAUAAAUUUUGUCUUAUUUUAAUAAUUAUGAGCUUCUAUUUUGUAAUAUAGUUUGUUUGAGAUUUCAUUUAUUAGUUUACCAGCCAGUUUCAAUUUUACUCCAUUAUUUUUUAACAAUAAAAACAUUCAAAUAUGUUCUCAAUAUCUAUAUUACGAAAUACAUACUUAUAUGUGUGUUUUUUAUGCACAUAUAUAAUAUAUAGUAUUAUAAAUGUAUUUUUUAUUAGAUUAUUAACUAUAAUUUUAGAGUUUAUAGUGAUUUCAUAAAUAUUACCUAAAAUCUAUUAAUAUAUAUUAGCAUAGACUUGAUAUUCUCUUAGCCAAUUUUCUGUACUAAUUAAAUUUCUUUUACUUACUGUUACUAAUGCAUUAACUGCGGCGCACACAUGAAAUGAAUAAUAAAGAAAGAGGAGAGAUGAAAAAUCUAUAGAAUUGACCAGUCAGUUAAAACCAGCAAGGUCAUCUUGUUGCUAGUGGUAAUAUAUUUGUAAAUGUAAGUAAUGAGUGUAUUAUAUAUAUAUAUGUCGCAUAUGAGUAUGUUGAGAACCUAGGUAUAUAAGCAGUGGUAGUAAUUUCACCGUAACUUCUUUCUUCGCUAGCCAUCUGACUGAGAAGAGGUUAAGUUUAUUUUUUCUGAAAAACGAAUAACUGAUCACUGACCGCCGAUAUGUCGUACAAAACAAUAUUGCAGAUUUUGUGUUGUUUGUUACUUGCGGUGGUAUUUGUUGCAUCGGUACCAAUUGAUUCGGAUCCAACGGAUACAAGAAAAAGAGAAGACAUUCCGUCAAUUGGUGAUCCAGAUAACUUUUUGAUGUUAAAACUAUUAAAACUUAAGCUUCUCAAAACAGCACUUUUAGGUUAAAAAAUGUAUCAUAUUUUACAUAGACUGAGAUAAUCUUUAGUUAUUUUAAUUUUAUUUUUAAUAAUUCAUUAAAACAUUUUUCAUUAUUACAUCUUUAAUUAUAGUAAUAUACUACAAUCACGUUCAUUUAACAUUUUAUUUUUGUAAGUUUGUAACUGAUUUUUUUUUUACGUUCUAUUGAAUAAUAAUGACAUUGAAAUUACCUAUAAUUAAAUUCUUAUAAAAAUCACAA
This is a long non-coding RNA of Aphis gossypii (cotton aphid), 1529 nucleotides long. RefSeq lists it as uncharacterized. The transcript is spliced from 3 exons. The record is from RefSeq and is a predicted model, not a curated record. Lineage: Eukaryota; Metazoa; Arthropoda; Insecta; Hemiptera; Aphididae.